RNAcentral lists this ribosomal RNA (301 nucleotides) under uncultured bacterium. Its description in RNAcentral is "partial 16S ribosomal RNA". It matches the Rfam family "Bacterial small subunit ribosomal RNA", at positions 509 to 807 of the family's 1533-position model. The record is from RNAcentral.
CAGUCGCCGCGGGAAUACGGAGGGCGCGAGCGUUACCCGGAUUUACUGGGCGUAAAGGGCGUGUAGGCGGCCUGGGGCGUCCCAUGUGAAAGGCCACGGCUCAACCGUGGAGGAGCGUGGGAUACGCUCAGGCUAGAGGGUGGGAGAGGGUGGUGGAAUUCCCGGAGUAGCGGUGAAAUGCGCAGAUACCGGGAGGAACGCCGAUGGCGAAGGCAGCCACCUGGUCCACUUCUGACGCUGAGGCGCGAAAGCGUGGGGAGCAAACCGGAUUAGAUACCCGUGUAGUCCCUGUCUCUUAUAC